This is a long non-coding RNA of Gavialis gangeticus (Gharial), 140 nucleotides long. RefSeq lists it as uncharacterized. The transcript is spliced from 2 exons. The record is from RefSeq and is a predicted model, not a curated record. Lineage: Eukaryota; Metazoa; Chordata; Crocodylia; Gavialidae.
GGACAUGCUGAUGUGCUACAUGCCAUCUUUGUUUUUAGAUCCCCUUCCACUGCUAGCCACAGGCUGAUCAAUCCCUGUUGGUGUGACAAGAGGCAGAAACAGAAAGGAGAAAGAAAAAAUGAAGAGGAUGACAACACUUC